UUAAACGGGAAACAGGAGGCGGACAUCCGCCCGGCCUGUGCUGUCCCCGCAACGGUACGCCGCCCGCGCGACGCGCUUUCAGCGCGCGCGCCCAUGCCGCCCACGAUGCCACUGCCCGCCUGCUUCGGGUGGGAAGGCCGCGGCCUGGCAAGCGGCCAGCCCGGAUACCG
RNAcentral lists this non-coding RNA (170 nucleotides) under Burkholderia ubonensis. The record is from RNAcentral. Lineage: Bacteria; Pseudomonadati; Pseudomonadota; Betaproteobacteria; Burkholderiales; Burkholderiaceae.